AGAGUUUGAUCCUGGCUCAGAACAAACGCUGGCGGCGUGCCUAACACAUGCAAGUCGUACGAGAAAGUCGGCUUCGGCCGAUGAGUACAGUGGCGCACGGGUGAGUAACGCGUGGGUAAUCUCCCUUGGUGAUCGGGAUAACAGCGGGAAACUGCUGCUAAUACCGGAUAAUCUUCAUGUUUAACUUCAUGGGGUAAAGGUGGCCUCUGCUUGCAAGCUACCACAUCAAGAUGAGCCCGCGUCUCAUUAGCUAGUUGGUAGGGUAAUGGCCUACCAAGGCUACGAUGAGUAGCUGGUCUGAGAGGAUGACCAGCCACACUGGGACUGGAACACGGCCCAGACUCCUACGGGAGGCAGCAGUGGGGAAUAUUGCGCAAUGGGCGAAAGCCUGACGCAGCGACGCCUCGUGAGGGAUGAAGGUCUUCGGAUCGUAAACCUCUGUCAAGAGGGAAGAAACCCUUGGAUUCGAAUAGGGUCCUUGGCUGACGGUACCU
RNAcentral lists this ribosomal RNA (494 nucleotides) under uncultured Desulfovibrio sp. RNAcentral describes it as "bacterial SSU rRNA". It matches the Rfam family "Bacterial small subunit ribosomal RNA", at positions 8 to 480 of the family's 1533-position model. The record is from RNAcentral. Lineage: Bacteria; Pseudomonadati; Thermodesulfobacteriota; Desulfovibrionia; Desulfovibrionales; Desulfovibrionaceae.